This 2572-nucleotide long non-coding RNA is filed under the name Nicotiana benthamiana. RNAcentral's name for it is "long non-coding RNA (NBEN_LNC032453)". Lineage: Eukaryota; Viridiplantae; Streptophyta; Magnoliopsida; Solanales; Solanaceae. The record is from RNAcentral.
AAAUUCUCUAAACGGCCCUCCCGAAUUCUACAUAACUAUAUAAUUAUUAAUCGAGGGCCCUACAUUUGUUUUGUUCGGCGAGGCUCGUCUCAUUAUUUUAUUAAAGGCCAAUUGAAAGUACUAUAUUAUCUGAUCACGAAAAUUAAACCUACCAAGACUAGCCCAAGUCCAAUCAGACUGAUAAUUAAAUUGGGACUUGGGCCGUCCAUUCAUAUAACAAAGCCCAAAUUGUUUAAUAGGACUGGCCCCCAAAAUGAACUCAACUGAACACUUUAUGAAAUCAGUGGAAACGGGUAACAAUGGACGAUUAUGCGAGUCAAGCAAAUAUAGCCUAUUUGAACGUUAAUUCCAUGUUCCAUACAUUUAUUCCUUUAUAUAAUGGUGUAUUCUCUAACAUUGAAGAUGAAAACAAGCAUGUAAUUAACAAGAGUAUUACUGCAGCCAACCAAUUGUCCUCGAUCCAAUUCAAGCUAACAUCAUUAAGUGACUUUGGACUAUUAGAACCAACUACAUGAAUCUCAGGACCAGUCAGAACUUCAUUUUACCAUUUGAAGUUAAGGAUAAUAGAAAUUACGAACACGGAAUAAAUAAGACAACUAAUGAGGCUACGCAAUAUCCACAACUAUGCAUACAACUAAUAAAUUAUCAACCAUAAGCAAUCCAAUUGAUCAGCCUAAGUAUAAAGCUAACAAAUACAAACCAUGAAAUGGUGAGUUCAUUGAAACCAACUGCUAAAAGAAAACUAAUUGUAUAAAAUGAACAAAACACAAUAGAAGAUUCAGCUAGCAUCAGAAGGCGAAUCAUUUUCAUUUCAUCAGUGAAAUUGCAUAAGCUCAAGUAUGUACCUGGAAUACAAGAAAAGAACAGAAGCAAGAAGUCAGCAACAGCAGUUAGCAAAUUCAAUCAAACAGCCCAACAACUUGAUUUAGAUGUCCAGAACAGAUUUGAAAUCCAGCAAAAUCAGAAGAAACAACCACAGACCGCGUGCAUAACCCACUGAACUUGAAAAUGAAAUCCAAAAUUCACACACUCCUCAACAAAUAACCCAAAUAACAACACAGUGUACCCCAAAUGCCUUCGAAACUGAAUUUAGGUGUAAAAACCAACUCAAAAGACCCAAAUACCUUUAAACAAAUUACCCAAAACCUCUAAGUGAUGUUCGACAGACUUGAAACUAUAGAGAAACAGAAGAAUUUCAGUAGGAACUUGAACACAAUUUUAAAAAAAGCAAAGAAACAGUACAAUAUUUUUGGUUUUGUUUUUUUUUUUUUUAAUUUUAGCUUCUACUUUGAAUCUGGAACUGAAAGGGAAAAUUUUUUGAGCUAAACUAGCUAUUAAAUAGUAAAUUUUUUUGGGGCUGAAAAAAGAAGACCCCUCCUCAAGGCAUUUGAUACCUUUUUAUAGGCAACCCUAGGGCAAAGAAUCACAUUUUGGUUUUCUAUGUUAGGCCCUUUUAAUUUUCAGUUUAGUCCUUUUAUUUCUAACUUGUUUCCCAAGUUAUUCACUAAGUUUUCUGAAAUAUACAUUAAAUUCUCAUUCUAGUAGUUUCUAGGAUGCUCUUUUAGCCCCAAAAUACUUAUACUACCCUUUAGCCUAUAUUGCAAUUACCAAUUUUCAAGAUACUACAAUUUUCCAUCUCUAAAGUACCCUUUCAACAGUCUGAAAAUUACAGACUAAGCUAGCUGGACCCAAUCCCUCACCCCAAGCUGCCCAAAUAUCCCUUGGGUCUUUAAUUAAACCAAAAUUAGCCUAUUAAUCAUAAUCAACCAGUUUCAAAGGACUAAACAAAAUUAAAUAACAAACGAACCAAUUACUCUAAGAAGAAGAGUAAUGUAAUAACAACCAUGGAAUUUCGAUCACCCAGAUAACAAAUGUAAUUUUUAAAAAAAUAUCCAAGCACUAACAAGAUCUAAAACAGUGGCCACCGCUAAUCAGAUUAAAAUAUGAAUUAAACUAUCAAGAGGUUAAUUGAAUUCAAAUGGUAAAGAUAGAGAAGAAACUUACCUAUGCCAGACCGGUGAAGAGAUUGAAAGAAAAUCGAUUCGAGUCCCGGAAUAACAUUAAUCGUUUGUUAUUUGAAGAACAAACGAAAACGUUAUUCAGUGGCUCAAAUCCAACACCAGACUCGAAAAAUCAAGCAAAAUUAAGCAACAGUGAACUCCUAGGGCUCCUCCUCCUUUAUGAUUCGAAAUUCGAGCAUCUCCGGUGGCGUUUGAAGGAAGCCAAUGAGAGAUUCAAGAAGUGAAGGAACAUGAGAGUGUAGGGUGUAACUUUGGGGUCAUUUGGAUAAAUUUGCAUCUGGGCCGAAAUCUUCAAUUCAAGAUUCGAGCAGCUGGGGAGUGAUUCGAAGGAUAACAAUCAUGGAUUCGAGAUGAGGCUAGUCAGACGGUCUUGGGGUGUUAUUUUGGUUGAGAUUGGAGUGGUUGCCGCCACCCUUAGGCGGUGGGGUUCGGUGGCGGCUUGGCUAGGGUUUGGGAGGGGUGAGGAAGAUGAUGCGAAGUGGGGUGGGUAGGGAUGUUCGAACAGUCUUAUAGUCAUGGAUGGGGACUUCACAACCGUUGUAUCAUCAAAC